RNAcentral lists this ribosomal RNA (422 nucleotides) under uncultured Bacteroidales bacterium. RNAcentral's name for it is "partial 16S ribosomal RNA". It matches the Rfam family "Bacterial small subunit ribosomal RNA", at positions 355 to 774 of the family's 1533-position model. The record is from RNAcentral. Lineage: Bacteria; Pseudomonadati; Bacteroidota; Bacteroidia; Bacteroidales.
UGAGGAAUAUUGGUCAAUGGUCGAGAGACUGAACCAGCCAAGUCGCGUGAAGGAUGACGGUCUUCUGGAUUGUAAACUUCUUUUGUAUGGGAAUAAAGUUAGGUACGUGUACCUAUUUGUAUGUACCAUUCGAAUAAGCAUCGGCUAACUCCGUGCCAGCAGCCGCGGUAAUACGGAGGAUGCGAGCGUUAUCCGGAUUUAUUGGGUUUAAAGGGUGCGUAGGCGGGAUUUUAAGUCAGCGGUGAAAUUUUGUGGCUCAACCAUAACAUUGCCGUUGAAACUGUGAUUCUUGAGUUCGGUUGAGGUAAGCGGAAUGAGUAGUGUAGCGGUGAAAUGCUUAGAUAUUACUCAGAACUCCAAUUGCGAAGGCAGCUUACUGGUCCGUUACUGACGCUGAAGCACGAAAGCGUGGGUAUCAAACA